GAGUUGAUCAUGGCUCAGGAUGAACGCUGGCGGCGUGCUUAACACAUGCAAGUCGAACGGAGUUUAGAUGAAAGCUUGCUUUGACUAAACUUAGUGGCGGACGGGUGAGUAACGCGUGGGUAACCUGCCUUAUACAGGGGGAUAACAGUCGGAAACGACUGCUAAUACCGCAUAAGCGCACGGAAUCGCAUGAUUCAGUGUGAAAAGAUUUAUCGGUAUAAGAUGGACCCGCGUCUGAUUAGCUAGUUGGUGAGGUAACGGCCCACCAAGGCGACGAUCAGUAGCCGGCCUGAGAGGGUGAACGGCCACAUUGGGACUGAGACACGGCCCAAACUCCUACGGGAGGCAGCAGUGGGGAAUAUUGCACAAUGGGGGAAACCCUGAUGCAAGCGACGCCGCGUGAGUGAAGAAGUAUUUCGGUAUGUAAAGCUCUAUCAGCAGGGAAGAAAAUGACGGUACCUGACUAAGAAGCCCCGGCUAACUACGUGCCAGCCGCAGC
RNAcentral lists this ribosomal RNA (499 nucleotides) under uncultured bacterium. Its description in RNAcentral is "bacterial SSU rRNA". It matches the Rfam family "Bacterial small subunit ribosomal RNA", at positions 9 to 518 of the family's 1533-position model. The record is from RNAcentral.